UCCAUUGUAGUACAACGGUCAGUAUAUCGCCCUCUCAUUCUAGAGAGGCCUCGCUCCGCGUAACAGCGUCCGGCGAAGGCCCGGGUUCGACUCCCGGCAAUGGAU
This is a non-coding RNA of Meira miltonrushii, 105 nucleotides long. The record is from the annotation of a RefSeq genome assembly. NCBI's taxonomy places the organism in Eukaryota, Fungi, Basidiomycota, Exobasidiomycetes, Exobasidiales, Brachybasidiaceae.